GCUGGCGACCGGCGCACGGGUGAGUAACACGUAUCCAGCCUACCCUUUACUCGGGGAUAGCCUUUCGAAAGAAAGAUUAAUACCCGAUAGCAUAAUGAUUCCGCAUGGUUUCAUUAUUAAAGGAUUCCGGUAAAGGAUGGGGAUGCGUUCCAUUAGGUUGUUGGUGAGGUAACGGCUCACCAAGCCUUCGAUGGAUAGGGGUUCUGAGAGGAAGGUCCCCCACAUUGGAACUGAGACACGGUCCAAACUCCUACGGGAGGCAGCAUG
This 267-nucleotide ribosomal RNA is filed under the name uncultured bacterium. RNAcentral describes it as "partial 16S ribosomal RNA". It matches the Rfam family "Bacterial small subunit ribosomal RNA", at positions 87 to 353 of the family's 1533-position model. The record is from RNAcentral.